GUCUCACUUCGGCAGCACAUAUAAUAAAAUUGGAACAAUACAGAGAAGAUUAUCAUGACCCUUGCGCAAGGAUGAUAUGCAAAUUCGUGAAAUGUUCCAUAUUUUU
Cavia aperea (Brazilian guinea pig) is the source of this 106-nucleotide small nuclear RNA. The record is from Ensembl. NCBI's taxonomy places the organism in Eukaryota, Metazoa, Chordata, Mammalia, Rodentia, Caviidae.